AUGCAGGCUAGGGUUGCUCAUCUUGCCGCUGGCUUGGCGGGCGCUAGCACUGCGAUCGACCGCGGGAUCUCUAGGCUCCCUUCCCUGGCCAAAUCCGUGCCGAUCGGGAGGCGUCGGGAGAAUGCAGGGAAGAUUUCGGCCAUGGCGGACAAGGCCGGAGAAGCAACGGAUCGGAGCGUCACUCAUCCUGUCUCGUUCUCAAGAGGGUGAAACGUUUAACUUCCAUAGCCCGCCAAUACAGCACUUCUGUGCAAACUAUCGCUCUAGCAAAUAAGAUUGACGACAUUGAUUUGCUACAGAUAACGGCACUAGCGAGCUGAGCAAGGCGCUAGGGCGAGCAGAGACCGGCCCAGUCAGCUCGUUUAAGCUCGCAGGUUUUCUGUGAGAUUUCUUUGUUCUGCUGCUUCUCACCUUGGAAACGCUUUGGUGCCCUGGGUGUUUUGCACUGCGAUCUUGACGCAGAUCAGUACGAGACCGACUCAAAGCUACAGGAGAUACGAAAGAAGCGAGGAUACUCCAGGAUAUCAUCACCGUGAGUCCGGAGAAGCUGCCAAACUGCGAGCACAAGAUCAGAGCUUCUUCGAGGAGCACAUCCAUCUGGACGAGGAGAUCCGCUACUGCCUCGAUGGAAGCGGCUACUUCGAUGUGAGAGACUUGGGCGAAGAAGGGAGACAUGAUCGUACUUCCUGCUGGAAGCUACCCUCGCUUCACUCUGGAUAACAACAAUUACGUCAAGUUUGGACGCCUUACAACAGGCCACAGGACGAGCACCGCGUCAGGUAACAUAUUCGUAUCAUACUCCGUAUCUCAAGGCCGUUUGCUGGUGCCAGGAAACAAUACAUCAGCUUGUAUGCACCUAAAUGAAGCAUUGACUACUUGGCUUUGUAUUGAUUAUUAAAUAGUAAUUAUAAUAAAGAUAUAUGUAUUGUCCUGA
This is a long non-coding RNA of Selaginella moellendorffii, 934 nucleotides long. RefSeq lists it as uncharacterized. The transcript has 6 exons. NCBI's taxonomy places the organism in Eukaryota, Viridiplantae, Streptophyta, Lycopodiopsida, Selaginellales, Selaginellaceae. The record is from RefSeq and is a predicted model, not a curated record.